RNAcentral lists this ribosomal RNA (484 nucleotides) under uncultured bacterium. RNAcentral's name for it is "bacterial SSU rRNA". It matches the Rfam family "Bacterial small subunit ribosomal RNA", at positions 20 to 518 of the family's 1533-position model. The record is from RNAcentral.
UGGCUCAGGACGAACGCUGGCGGCGUGCCUAACACAUGCAAGUCGAGCGGGGAGAGCCUUCGGGGCUCUCCAGCGGCGGACGGGUGAGUAACGCGUGAGCAACCUUUCCUUCACAGGGGGAUAACGCAGCGAAAGUUGUGCUAAUACCGCUUAAGACCACAAUGUCGCAUGGCAAAGGGGGUCAAAGGAGGAAUCCGGUGAAGGGUGGGCUCGCGUCUGAUUAGCUAGUUGGCGGGGUAACAGCCCACCAAGGCGACGAUCAGUAGCCGACCUGAGAGGGUGAUCGGCCACACUGGGACUGAGACACGGCCCAGACUCCUACGGGAGGCAGCAGUGGGGAAUAUUGGGCAAAUGGGGGAAACCCUGACCCAGCAACGCCGCGUGAGGGAAGAAGGUUUUCGGAUCGUAAACCUCUGUCCUCAGGGACGAAAUAAAUGACGGUACCUGAGGAGGAAGCCCCGGCUAACUACGUGCCAGCCGCAGC